Molecule: long non-coding RNA, 384 nt
Filed under: Columba livia (rock pigeon)
Lineage: Eukaryota; Metazoa; Chordata; Aves; Columbiformes; Columbidae
Description: partial uncharacterized LOC102091862
Source: RNAcentral
CUUUCCAAUUAUGAUUUUUGAAUAUGGCCCUCACCAACAUCAUCCUUGCUGUUCUCUUUGGGAGAAGGUUUCAUUAUGAAGACCCAACGUUUCUCAGUCUGUUAAGACUCAUAGAUGAAAUUACGCACCUUCUUGGCUCUCUGUUCUUGCAUUUUUUUAAUUUCUACCCAUUCCUUGGAUUUCUCCUCAAACCUCACACCACCAUCUGAUCCCUGGGAGAGACCCUUGUCUGCUGUGCCAUGGGGAGACUUCUGUUCCCUGCGUACCACUCGAUUCUUCCAGGUUAAUGGUGCUUUACCUGCCUCUCCCUGCCUUCCCUGAAGAAGACCCCGUCCUGCUGCCACCACUUCUCAAGAGCGACAUUGCCAGCAGGUGAUGCUUUGG